UACGUAGGGUGCAAGCGUUAAUCGGAAUUACUGGGCGUAAAGCGUGCGCAGGCGGCUUUGCAAGACAGAUGUGAAAUCCCCGGGCUCAACCUGGGAACUGCAUUUGUGACUGCAAGGCUAGAGUACGGUAGAGGGGGAUGGAAUUCCGCGUGUAGCAGUGAAAUGCGUAGAUAUGCGGAGGAACACCGAUGGCGAAGGCAAUCCCCUGGACCUGUACUGACGCUCAUGCACGAAAGCGUGGGGAGCGAACAGG
Molecule: ribosomal RNA, 253 nt
Filed under: uncultured bacterium
Lineage: Bacteria
Description: partial 16S ribosomal RNA
Rfam family: Bacterial small subunit ribosomal RNA
Source: RNAcentral